GAUGGCCUGGCGCGCGGCAUCCGCGAGG
This 28-nucleotide non-coding RNA is filed under the name Cricetulus griseus (Chinese hamster). The record is from RNAcentral. Lineage: Eukaryota; Metazoa; Chordata; Mammalia; Rodentia; Cricetidae.